AACAUAAGAGAUGACUUAUUAGAGUAGAAUAGGCGAAACCUACAUGGAAAAGAAGACGAGAAGAAUGUGUGAUACUACUAUGAGAGAUUUAAGAAGAACAUAAAAGAUGAAAAAGAAAGAACAUAAGAGAUGACUUAUUAGAGUAGAAUAGGCGAAACCUACAUGGAAAAGAAGACGAGAAGAAUGUGUGAUACUACUAUGAGAGAUUUAAGAAGGUUGAAAUUAAAACCCUA
This 233-nucleotide long non-coding RNA is filed under the name Lathyrus oleraceus (garden pea). RNAcentral's name for it is "Pisum sativum (pea) long non-coding RNA (PSAT_LNC022135)". Lineage: Eukaryota; Viridiplantae; Streptophyta; Magnoliopsida; Fabales; Fabaceae. The record is from RNAcentral.